UAGGGAAUAUUGCAAAAUGGGCGAAAGCCCGAUGCAGCAACGCCGCGUGGGCGAUGAAGGCCUUCGGGUCGUAAAGCCCUUUUUGAGGGGAUGAGGAAGGACAGUACCCUCAGAAUAGGCCUCGGCUAACUACGUGCCAGCAGCCGCGGUAAAACGUAGGAGGCGAGCGUUAUCCGGAUUUACUGGGCGUAAAGCGCGUGCAGGCGGAUUGGAGAGUUGGAUGUGAAAGCUCCCGGCUUAACUGGGAGAGGUCGUUCAAUACUUCCAGUCUUGAGUGCAGUAGAGGGAAGUGGAAUUCCGGGUGUAGUGGUGAAAUGCGUAGAUAUCCGGAGGAACACCAGUGGCGAAAGCGGCUUCCUGGACUGUAACUGACGCUCAGACGCGAAAGCUAGGGUAGCAAACG
Molecule: ribosomal RNA, 403 nt
Filed under: uncultured bacterium
Lineage: Bacteria
Description: bacterial SSU rRNA
Rfam family: Bacterial small subunit ribosomal RNA
Source: RNAcentral